CACACAGGAGGGACGUGGGGCCAGUUGCCACAGGGGAGCCUGCUGCCAAAAGUUCAGAAAUGCCUCAGUUCAAAACAGCCUCACAGAUCUGAUGAUGCCUCAGCUGAAGGCCACAUUCCGCCUCUGCUGUUGCUGCUGUACCAUGGCUGAAAUGUUUGCUGAAGACUUGUCCUGAGUAUUUACAGGCCAAUCAGGUCAUCUCUUUCUGGACAUGUCUGACAUGGAAAAGCUGCAUUCAUCAAUGGAAGACAGGUCUGCCCCAUGAUGUGGCAAUUCAUGAUCAGUACAUGAUUUGCUAUGAGAAAAAAAUAUAAAAUUUGAAGAACUUUUUUGCAACAAUAAUCCA
Molecule: long non-coding RNA, 346 nt
Organism: Passer domesticus (house sparrow)
Lineage: Eukaryota; Metazoa; Chordata; Aves; Passeriformes; Passeridae
Exons: 3
Source: RefSeq, a predicted model, not a curated record